UCCCGACUGGUGUAGUGGUUAGCAUUUCCGCUUUUCAAGAAGCCUUCUGGCUAUGAAAUAACAACGCGGGAGACCGGGGUUCAAUUCCCCGGUCGGGAA
Molecule: non-coding RNA, 99 nt
Organism: Cadophora malorum
Lineage: Eukaryota; Fungi; Ascomycota; Leotiomycetes; Helotiales; Ploettnerulaceae
Source: the annotation of a GenBank genome assembly